RNAcentral lists this ribosomal RNA (350 nucleotides) under Burkholderia sp. CAR53. RNAcentral's name for it is "bacterial SSU rRNA". It matches the Rfam family "Bacterial small subunit ribosomal RNA", at positions 1000 to 1354 of the family's 1533-position model. The record is from RNAcentral. Lineage: Bacteria; Pseudomonadati; Pseudomonadota; Betaproteobacteria; Burkholderiales; Burkholderiaceae.
GAAGAGAUUCGGGAGUUCUGGAAAGAGAACCGGCGCACAGGUGGUGCAUGGCUGUCGUCAGCUCGUGUCGUGAGAUGUUGGGUUAAGUCCCGCAACGAGCGCAACCCUUGUCCUUAGUUGGUACGCAAGAGCACUCUAAGGAGACUGCCGGUGACAAACCGGAGGAAGGUGGGGAUGACGUCAAGUCCUCAUGGCCCUUAUGGGUAGGGCUUCACACGUCAUACAAUGGUCGGAACAGAGGGUUGCCAACCCGCGAGGGGGAGCUAAUCCCAGAAAACCGAUCGUAGUCCGGAUUGCACUCUGCAACUCGAGUGCAUGAAGCUGGAAUCGCUAGUAAUCGCGGAUCAGCA